This 77-nucleotide transfer RNA is filed under the name Coemansia sp. RSA 2559. RNAcentral describes it as "tRNA-Leu". It matches the Rfam family "tRNA". Rfam says of the family: Transfer RNA (tRNA) molecules are approximately 80 nucleotides in length. Their secondary structure includes four short double-helical elements and three loops (D, anti-codon, and T loops). The record is from RNAcentral. Lineage: Eukaryota; Fungi; Kickxellomycota; Kickxellomycetes; Kickxellales; Kickxellaceae.
AUGGCCGAGUUGGUCUAAGGCGUUGCGUUAAGGCCGCAAUCUCUUCGGAGGCGUGGGUUCGAAUCCCACUCUGUUCA